GGCGUAAAGCGCAUGCAGGUGGGAAGGUAAGUCUGAUGUGAAAGCCCUGGGCUUAACCUGGGAAGUGCAUUGGAUACUGCUUUUCUUGAGUCCUGUAGAGGGGGGUAGAAUUUC
Molecule: ribosomal RNA, 114 nt
Filed under: uncultured bacterium
Lineage: Bacteria
Description: partial 16S ribosomal RNA
Rfam family: Bacterial small subunit ribosomal RNA
Source: RNAcentral